This 268-nucleotide long non-coding RNA is filed under the name Elaeis guineensis (African oil palm). RNAcentral describes it as "long non-coding RNA (EGUI_LNC062327)". The record is from RNAcentral. Lineage: Eukaryota; Viridiplantae; Streptophyta; Magnoliopsida; Arecales; Arecaceae.
CCUCAACCAGUCCAUAUAGUUCAGAUUGGCCGUACCAGGUCGAACCGUCCGGUACGGGGCGUAUCGAGCCGGACCGAUGCUCAAACGGUUCGAUUCGGAUUUUUUUUCGAGAAAUACUCUGAACUGGUAUCGAACCCAGUGGUUCGAUCUGGUUCGCUUUCAUACCAUCUAAAAUCGGACGGCAUGGUCCAGUUCGGUCCGAUUCGACGUGAACCGAACCGUACCAACACCCCAUGUGCCAAAAGUGACGAGAGGGGAGGGGGGUCGG